RNAcentral lists this ribosomal RNA (301 nucleotides) under uncultured bacterium. RNAcentral describes it as "partial 16S ribosomal RNA". It matches the Rfam family "Bacterial small subunit ribosomal RNA", at positions 509 to 807 of the family's 1533-position model. The record is from RNAcentral.
CAGCCGCCACGGUAACACAGAGGAUGCAAGCGUUAUCCGGAAUUACUGGGCGUAAAGCGUGCGUAGGCGGUUUCUUAAGUCUGCUGUGAAAUCCCCGGGCUCAACCUGGGAAUGGCAGUGGAUACUGGGAAGCUAGAGUGUGUCAGAGGAUGGUGGAAUUCCCGGUGUAGCGGUGAAAUGCGUAGAGAUGUGGAGGAACACCGAUGGCGAAGGCAGCCCCCUGGGCCAAUACUGACGCUCAUGCACGAAAGCGUGGGGAGCAAACAGGAUUAGAUACCCCUGUAGUCCCUGUCUCUUAUAC